Molecule: ribosomal RNA, 180 nt
Filed under: uncultured Glomeromycotina
Lineage: Eukaryota; Fungi; Glomeromycota
Description: partial small subunit ribosomal RNA
Rfam family: Eukaryotic small subunit ribosomal RNA (bases 90-180)
Source: RNAcentral
GGCCUGGCUGGGUGGUCUUGCCGAAAGGUAAGCACUGCUCUGGUCGGGUCUUUCCUUCUGGGGAACCAGCGUGCUCUUAACUGAGUGCGUUGGGGAUCCAGGACUUUUACUUUGAAAAAAUUAGAGUGCUUAAAGCAGGCUAGUGCUUGAAUAGAUUAGCAUGGAAUAAUAAAAUAGGAC